UUGAACGCUGGCGGCAGGCCUAACACAUGCAAGUCGAGCGGAUGAAGGGAUCUUGCUCCUGGAUUCAGCGGCGGACGGGUGAGUAAUGCCUAGGAAUCUGCCUGGUAUUGGGGUAUAACUUCCGUAAACGGGCUCUAAUACCUCAUACGUCCUGAGUGAUACAGUGUGGGAUCUUCUGACCUCUUGCUAUCAUUUGAUCCUAGCUCGGAUUAGCUAGUUGGUGGGGUAAAGUCCUACCAAGGCGACGAUACGUAACUGGUCUGAGAGGAUGAUCAGUCACACUGGAAGGGAGACACGGACAAGACGACUACGGGAGGGAGCAGAGGGGAAUAUUGGACAAUGGGCGAAAGGAUGAUCCAGCAAUGGCGAGUGUGAGAAGAAGGUCUUGGGAUUGUAAAGAACUUUAAGGUGGGAGGAAGGGAAGUAAGUUAAUACCUAGCUGUUUUGACGUUAACAACAGAAUAAGCACCGGCUAACUUCGUG
RNAcentral lists this ribosomal RNA (483 nucleotides) under uncultured bacterium. RNAcentral describes it as "partial 16S ribosomal RNA". It matches the Rfam family "Bacterial small subunit ribosomal RNA", at positions 30 to 507 of the family's 1533-position model. The record is from RNAcentral.